AGCCGCUACCCUGCAGCUAGACUACUUUGCAAUAUUGAACUGAUUUUUGUUCCCUCCUGUGCAGCUGUUGCUGGACACAGCCAGAGCACUGAGAGAUAUCAGGUAUUGAUGUAACUGGAGUGAAUAAGGGAACCUUCUUCCUGAGCACAGACAUUGGAGCCUGUUAUCAGCAUGAACUCAUAUGUGUUAGAUAUGUCCCACUUGUGGCGGACAACCACACCGGUUGGGAGAAGGUAUAUCUAUGGCUCAGAGAUGUAGAUGAUGAUGAUGCUGGAACAGGCUGCACUCUCCUCACAUCAAAAUGUCAAAAGAAUCUGGAGAAGUGAAGAAAAAAGAGAGGCGCCUGUGUGU
Long non-coding RNA from Bombina bombina (fire-bellied toad), 351 nucleotides. RefSeq lists it as uncharacterized. NCBI's taxonomy places the organism in Eukaryota, Metazoa, Chordata, Amphibia, Anura, Bombinatoridae. The transcript is spliced from 3 exons. The record is from RefSeq and is a predicted model, not a curated record.